Ciona savignyi (Pacific transparent sea squirt) is the source of this 82-nucleotide non-coding RNA. NCBI's taxonomy places the organism in Eukaryota, Metazoa, Chordata, Ascidiacea, Phlebobranchia, Cionidae. The record is from Rfam.
GUCGUCGUGGCCUAGUGGUUAAGGCGACAGACUUGAAAUCUGUUGGGCUCUGCCCGCACAGAUUCGAAUCCUGUCGGCGACG